GAUGAAGAACGUAGCGAAAUGCGAUACUUGGUGUGAAUUGCAGAAUCCCGUGAACCAUCGAGUCUUUGAACGCAAGUUGCGCCCGAAGCCAUCAGGUUGAGGGCACGUCUGCCUGGGCGUCACAUAUCGUUGCCCAAUGCCUAUUGCAGUGCAAUAGGAAUUUCUAGGGCGAAUGAUGGCUUCCCGUGAGCGUUGUUGCCUCGCGGUUGGUUGAAAAUCGAGUCCUUGGUAGGGUGUGCCAUGGUAGAUGGUGGCCGAGUUAGAACGAUACCGAUCAUGUGCAUGCUCCCCAAAAUAUGGCCUCUAUGACCCACACGCGUCUUUUGACGCUCAUGACGAGACCUCAGGUCAGGCGGGGCUACCCGCUGAAUUUAAGCAUAUCAAUAAGCGGAGGA
This 395-nucleotide unclassified non-coding RNA is filed under the name soil metagenome. RNAcentral's name for it is "partial contains 5.8S ribosomal RNA, internal transcribed spacer 2, and large subunit ribosomal RNA". The stretch from base 1 to 122 matches the Rfam family "5.8S ribosomal RNA", at positions 35 to 154 of the family's 154-position model. The record is from RNAcentral.